UACGUAGGUCCCGACCGUUGCGCGAAUUUACUGGGCGUAAAGGGUCCGUAGGCGGUUUAGCCAGUGGUUGGUGAAAUUUCGCGGCUCAACCGUGAAACUGCCUUCCAAACUGCUAAACUUGAGGCAGGGAGAGGUCGGCGGAAUUCCCGGUGUAGCGGUGAAAUGCGUAGCUAUCGGGAGGAACGCCAGUGGCGAAGGCGGCCGACUGGAACUGUCCUGACGAUGAGGGACGAAAGCUAGGGGAGCAAACCGG
Molecule: ribosomal RNA, 253 nt
Filed under: uncultured bacterium
Lineage: Bacteria
Description: partial 16S ribosomal RNA
Rfam family: Bacterial small subunit ribosomal RNA
Source: RNAcentral